Molecule: unclassified non-coding RNA, 337 nt
Filed under: soil metagenome
Description: partial contains 5.8S ribosomal RNA, internal transcribed spacer 2, and large subunit ribosomal RNA
Rfam family: 5.8S ribosomal RNA (bases 1-120)
Source: RNAcentral
GAUGAAGAACGUAGCGAAAUGCGAUAAGUAGUGUGAAUUGCAGAAUUCAGUGAAUCAUCGAAUCUUUGAACGCACAUUGCGCCCCUUGGUAUUCCAUGGGGCAUGCCUGUUCGAGCGUCAUUUGUACCUUCAAGCUCUGCUUGGUGUUGGGUGUUUGUCUCGCCUCUGCGUGUAGACUCGCCUCAAAAUAAUUGGCAGCCGGCGUAUUGAUUUCGGAGCGCAGUACAUCUCGCGCUUUGCACUCAUAACGACGACAUCCAAAAGUACAUUUUUACACUCUUGACCUCGGAUCAGGUAGGGAUACCCGCUGAACUUAAGCAUAUCAAUAAGCGGAGGA